UACUACCGAAGCUACGGCAUCAGUAAUGAUGGGUAGGGGAGCUUCCCAUACGGGUUGAAGCAUGACCGUAAGGACAUGGGGACAGUAUGGGAGUGAGAAUGUUGGCAUGAGUAGCGAGAUGUGGGUGAGAAUCCCACAGGCCGUAAACCCAAGGUUUCCAGGGGAAGGUUCGUCCGCCCUGGGUUAGUCGGGACCUAAGCUGAGGCCGAAAGGCGUAGGUGAUGGACAACAGGUUGAUAUUCCUGUACUACCGAU
This 255-nucleotide ribosomal RNA is filed under the name Clostridioides difficile. RNAcentral's name for it is "partial 23S ribosomal RNA". It matches the Rfam family "Bacterial large subunit ribosomal RNA", at positions 1189 to 1451 of the family's 2925-position model. Lineage: Bacteria; Bacillati; Bacillota; Clostridia; Peptostreptococcales; Peptostreptococcaceae. The record is from RNAcentral.